UACGUAGGGGGCAAGCGUUGUUCGGAAUUACUGGGCGUAAAGGGCGCGUAGGCGGCACAGCAAGUCGGGAGUGAAAGCCUGGGGCUCAACCCCGGAAUGGCUUUCGAAACUGCUGAGCUAGAGUACAGAAGGGGCAACCGGAAUUCCCAGUGUAGCGGUGAAAUGCGUAGAUAUUGGGAAGAACACCUGAGGCGAAGGCGGGUUGCUGGGCUGAUACUGACGCUGAGGCGCGAAAGCCAGGGGAGCAAACGGG
This 253-nucleotide ribosomal RNA is filed under the name uncultured bacterium. Its description in RNAcentral is "partial 16S ribosomal RNA". It matches the Rfam family "Bacterial small subunit ribosomal RNA", at positions 524 to 776 of the family's 1533-position model. The record is from RNAcentral.